Long non-coding RNA from Etheostoma cragini (Arkansas darter), 170 nucleotides. RefSeq lists it as uncharacterized. The transcript is spliced from 3 exons. Lineage: Eukaryota; Metazoa; Chordata; Actinopteri; Perciformes; Percidae. The record is from RefSeq and is a predicted model, not a curated record.
UCAGAUAAGCUUACAGGACACUGCUGAGAUUCAACCUCCUUUAUGCAACUGUCUUCUUUAAACCUAGCUGUUCAAAAUCACUGCUCACUGUACACUAAGGCAGUGUGUGUACACUAUUUGCAGACAGGUGUGUAGCCUUUAUUCUGAAUUUCAAUAAUUAAAAAAAGGAC